CACGUAGGGGACGAGCGUUGUCCGGAAUCAUUGGGCGUAAAGCGCGCGUAGGCGGCCCUGUAAGUCCGUUGUGAAAGUCAAAGGCUCAACCUUUGAAAGCCGAUGGAUACUGCAGGGCUAGAGUCCGGAAGAGGCGAGUGGAAUUCCUGGUGUAGCGGUGGAAUGCGCAGAUAUCAGGAGGAACACCAAUAGCGAAGGCAGCUCGCUGGGACGGUACUGACGCUAAGGCGCGAAAGCGUGGGGAGCGAACAGG
RNAcentral lists this ribosomal RNA (253 nucleotides) under uncultured bacterium. RNAcentral's name for it is "partial 16S ribosomal RNA". It matches the Rfam family "Bacterial small subunit ribosomal RNA", at positions 524 to 776 of the family's 1533-position model. The record is from RNAcentral.